CAAAGGAAUUGACGGGGCCGCACAAGCGGUGGAGCAUGUGGUUUAAUUCGAAGUCAACGACGAAGAACCUUACCAGGUCUUGACAUCCCGAUGCUAUUUCUAGAGAUAGAAAGUUACUUCGGUACGAUCGGUGACAGGUGGUGCAUGGUUGUCGUCAGCUCGUGUCGUGAGAUGUUGGGUUAAGUCCCGCGACGAGCGCAACCCCUAUUGUUAGUUGCCAUCAUUCAGUUGGGCACUCUAGCGAGACUGCCGGUAAUAAACCGGAGGAAGGUGGGGAUGACGUCAAAUCAUCAUGCCCCUUAUGGCCUGGGCUACAAACGUAAUACAAUGGCGUAUACAAAGGGAUGCGAAAGGGCGACCUGGAGCAAAACUCACAAAGUACGUCUCAGUUCAGAUUGGAGUCUGCAACUCGACUCCAUGAAGGCGGAAUCGCUAGUAAUCGCGGAUCAGCAUGCCGCGGUGAAUACGUUCUCGGGGUUU
RNAcentral lists this ribosomal RNA (480 nucleotides) under uncultured Erysipelothrix sp. RNAcentral describes it as "bacterial SSU rRNA". It matches the Rfam family "Bacterial small subunit ribosomal RNA", at positions 902 to 1382 of the family's 1533-position model. The record is from RNAcentral. Lineage: Bacteria; Bacillati; Bacillota; Erysipelotrichia; Erysipelotrichales; Erysipelotrichaceae.